Molecule: ribosomal RNA, 482 nt
Filed under: uncultured bacterium
Lineage: Bacteria
Description: partial 16S ribosomal RNA
Rfam family: Bacterial small subunit ribosomal RNA
Source: RNAcentral
GAUGAACGCUGGCGGCGUGCCUAAUACAUGCAAGUCGAACGCUUCCCUUCGGUGAAGCGUGGCGAACGGGUGUGUAAUACAUAAGUAACCUGGCAUCUACAGGGGGAUAACUGAUGGAAACGUCUGCUAAGACCGCAUAGGUGUAGAGAUCGCAUGAACUCUAUAUGAAAAGUGCUACGGGACUGGUAGAUGAUGGACUUAUGGCGCAUUAGCUUGUUGGUAGGGUAACGGCCUACCAAGGCGACGAUGCGUAGCCGACCUGAGAGGGUGACCGGCCACACUGGGACUGAGACACGGCCCAGACUCCUACGGGAGGCAGCAGUAGGGAAUUUUCGGCAAUGGGGGAAACCCUGACCGAGCAACGCCGCGUGAAGGAAGAAGUAAUUCGGUAUGUAAACUUCUGUCAUAGAGAAAGAACGGUGGAUAUAGGGAAUGAUAUCCAAGUGACGGUACUCUAUAAGAAAGCCACGGCUAACUACGUG